AACGAACGCUAGCGGCGUGGAUUAGGCAUGCAAGUCGCACGAGAAAGGGCUUCGGCCCGAGUAAAGUGGCGGACGGGUGAGUAAUGCGUAGAUGACCUGCCCUGAUGACGGGGAUAACUAGCCGAAAGGUUAGCUAAUACCGGAUGUGGUGCGGAGGCUACGGCUUCCGUACUAAAGAUGGCCACUGAAUCAAGCUGUCGCAUGAGGAGGGGUUUACGUGCUAUUAGCUAGUUGGUGAGGUAAUGGCUCACCAAGGCUGUGAUGGCUAGCCGGCCUGAGAGGGUGUCCGGCCACACUGGGACUGAGACACUGCCCAGACUCCUACGGGAGGCUGCAGUCGAGAAUCUUCCUCCAAUGCGCGCAAGCGUGAAGGAGCGACGCCGCGUGAAUGAUGAAGGCC
This 400-nucleotide ribosomal RNA is filed under the name uncultured bacterium. Its description in RNAcentral is "bacterial SSU rRNA". It matches the Rfam family "Bacterial small subunit ribosomal RNA", at positions 29 to 416 of the family's 1533-position model. The record is from RNAcentral.